RNAcentral lists this transfer-messenger RNA (333 nucleotides) under Clostridium sporogenes. It matches the Rfam family "transfer-messenger RNA". Rfam says of the family: Bacterial tmRNA, also known as 10Sa RNA or SsrA, is named for its dual tRNA and mRNA-like properties. Its role is to liberate the mRNA from a stalled ribosome. To accomplish this part of the tmRNA is used as a reading frame that ends in a translation stop signal. The record is from RNAcentral. Lineage: Bacteria; Bacillati; Bacillota; Clostridia; Eubacteriales; Clostridiaceae.
AAUGGUUUCGACGGGGGCAAGUUGCUCCUGGGAAGCGAGUCGAAGGGAUCCUGUACCUGCGUUAAAAAACUGGGAACUUAAAUAUAAUUGCAAACGAUAAUUUUGCAUUAGCUGCCUAAUAGUUGCAGCUCGUCAGCCUAAGAGUCCCACGACUUAGGGUCUGGCGUCGACAGUGGGGAACCGAGCCUUACAAAGCUUUGAGUAAGGAACGGAAUUAAUGAAGCUACUAAAUCUAAGAGCCUGUUUAUCGGCGUUUAGAGGAGGGAAUGUAAAAGGAUAAACUGCACUCGGAGAUGUCCAGGGGUUGCUGCUUUCGGACAGGGGUUCGAUUCA